Molecule: long non-coding RNA, 573 nt
Organism: Dreissena polymorpha
Lineage: Eukaryota; Metazoa; Mollusca; Bivalvia; Myida; Dreissenidae
Exons: 4
Source: RefSeq, a predicted model, not a curated record
AAUGCAUUAGGCCAUAAGGGUUUUCGCAGUGCCGGUUAAUCUUUCAUCAGUUAUAGAUAUUAUAGUCAUAUAUAGUAUUUAUAUUUUUGGAAAAACAUAUUCAGAAAUGAGGCUACUUCCGGUUUUUCUCGCAUGCGCAGUGAGUGUAGCGGUCGUUUACAUCCAGCAGGGUGCUGCACAAGCGGUCACGUACGGGGUGUUCGGAGCGUACGGCGGAUAUUUGCUGGGUGGAUUUAUAAUUCUCCUUGCGCUGCUGUAUAACAGUCGUCAGAGGGACCCCUUCUCAAUCACGAUCAACAACUCAGCUAUGUCGCUUGGGAGCGGCUCUCCGGGUCCUCUUUAAAAAACGCGGACCACGGAGCCUGGGUCACCCUACCAACGAUCAAGAGGAAACCGUCAAUGCAUUGUUUUUGAUUCAGCCAUACAGUGCUUACAUGGACAUGCAGUAUACACAUCAAUACAUAUUUAUUAAAAAAGAAAAUAAACGAACUGUAAUUCAUGUUAGAUCAACAUUAUGUUUUGUUUUGAAUAAAAUUGUACUGGUGAGGAUUUCAUGCAUGUUUGACAGAUUAC